RNAcentral lists this ribosomal RNA (720 nucleotides) under Lactiplantibacillus plantarum. RNAcentral describes it as "bacterial SSU rRNA". It matches the Rfam family "Bacterial small subunit ribosomal RNA", at positions 70 to 765 of the family's 1533-position model. The record is from RNAcentral. Lineage: Bacteria; Bacillati; Bacillota; Bacilli; Lactobacillales; Lactobacillaceae.
UGAUUGGUGCUUGCAUCAUGAUUUACAUUUGAGUGAGUGGCGAACUGGUGAGUAACACGUGGGAAACCUGCCCAGAAGCGGGGGAUAACACCUGGAAACAGAUGCUAAUACCGCAUAACAACUUGGACCGCAUGGUCCGAGCUUGAAAGAUGGCUUCGGCUAUCACUUUUGGAUGGUCCCGCGGCGUAUUAGCUAGAUGGUGGGGUAACGGCUCACCAUGGCAAUGAUACGUAGCCGACCUGAGAGGGUAAUCGGCCACAUUGGGACUGAGACACGGCCCAAACUCCUACGGGAGGCAGCAGUAGGGAAUCUUCCACAAUGGACGAAAGUCUGAUGGAGCAACGCCGCGUGAGUGAAGAAGGGUUUCGGCUCGUAAAACUCUGUUGUUAAAGAAGAACAUAUCUGAGAGUAACUGUUCAGGUAUUGACGGUAUUUAACCAGAAAGCCACGGCUAACUACGUGCCAGCAGCCGCGGUAAUACGUAGGUGGCAAGCGUUGUCCGGAUUUAUUGGGCGUAAAGCGAGCGCAGGCGGUUUUUUAAGUCUGAUGUGAAAGCCUUCGGCUCAACCGAAGAAGUGCAUCGGAAACUGGGAAACUUGAGUGCAGAAGAGGACAGUGGAACUCCAUGUGUAGCGGUGAAAUGCGUAGAUAUAUGGAAGAACACCAGUGGCGAAGGCGGCUGUCUGGUCUGUAACUGACGCUGAGGCUCGAAAGUAUGGG